RNAcentral lists this long non-coding RNA (293 nucleotides) under Fukomys damarensis (Damara mole-rat). RNAcentral's name for it is "lncRNA (ENSFDAG00000025915.1)". Lineage: Eukaryota; Metazoa; Chordata; Mammalia; Rodentia; Bathyergidae. The record is from RNAcentral.
GGUUUAUUAUGACUCACAUGCUACCUGUUGGACACCUUCCCCAGCUUACCCAUCUUUCCAUCCUAAUGCCAGGAUGUGCAGUGAAGUCUGGUGAAAAACUUCAAGCUUUCAUAGAAAUCCAGCAAUAUGGUUUUUCAGGAAGCAAAGUCCUGAAGACGAUACUGUGAUACAACAAUGUGAAUGAAUGAAUAAAAACAGUGCUCUCUUGGGCCGGGGAUUUAGGUCAGCGGUUCCACGACCUGCCUCGCAAGCGCAAGGACCUGAGUUCUAUCCCCAGUACCACAUAAAUGAAU